RNAcentral lists this ribosomal RNA (63 nucleotides) under Fusarium armeniacum. RNAcentral describes it as "partial 28S ribosomal RNA". The record is from RNAcentral. Lineage: Eukaryota; Fungi; Ascomycota; Sordariomycetes; Hypocreales; Nectriaceae.
AACUUCUGAAUGUUGACCUCGGAUCAGGUAGGAAUACCCGCUGAACUUAAGCAUAUCAAUAGC